CCUACGGGAGGCAGCAGUGAGGAAUAUUGGUCAAUGGGCGCGAGCCUGAACCAGCCAAGUAGCGUGAAGGAUGACUGCCCUACGGGUUGUAAACUUCUUUUAUAAAGGAAUAUAGUGAGGCAUGUGUGCCUUUUUCUCUGUACUUUAUGAAUAAGGAUCGGCUAACUCCGUGCCAGCAGCGGCGGUAAUACGGAGAAUCCGAGCGUUAUCCGGAUUUAUUGGGUUUAAAGGGAGCGUAGAUGGGUUGUUAAGUUAGUGGUGAAAGGUUGCGGAGCAACUGUAAAAUUGAAAUUGAUACUUGCAGUCUUGAGUACAGUUGAGGUAGGCGGAAUACGUGGUGUAGCGGUGAAAUGCUUGGAUAUCACGAAGAACUCCGAUUGCGAAGGCAGCUUACGAAACUGCCACUGACAUUGAUGCUCGAAAGUGUGGGUAUAAAACAGGAGUAGAGACCCCAGUAGUC
RNAcentral lists this ribosomal RNA (460 nucleotides) under uncultured bacterium. RNAcentral's name for it is "partial 16S ribosomal RNA". It matches the Rfam family "Bacterial small subunit ribosomal RNA", at positions 338 to 795 of the family's 1533-position model. The record is from RNAcentral.